RNAcentral lists this ribosomal RNA (407 nucleotides) under uncultured bacterium. RNAcentral's name for it is "partial 16S ribosomal RNA". It matches the Rfam family "Bacterial small subunit ribosomal RNA", at positions 28 to 526 of the family's 1533-position model. The record is from RNAcentral.
GACGAACGCUGGCGGCGUGCCUAAUACAUGCAAGUAGGACGCAGUUGCGAACGGGUGAGUAACGCGUAGGUAACUACCUAUUAGAGGGGGAUAACUAUUGGCAACGAUAGCUAAUACCGCAUACUAGUAGAUGGAACUGCGUUGUAUUGGCUAGUAGGUGGGGUAAUGGCCUACCUAGGCAACGAUACAUAGCCGAAAGGGGACGGGGAUCGGCCAGACUGGGACUGCGACACGGCACAGACUGCCACGGGAAGCAGCAGUAGGGAAUCGUCGGCAAUGGGGGGAACACUGACCGAGAAACGGCGCGGGAGUGAAGAGGGUUUUCGGGUCGUAAAGCUCUGUUGUUAAGGAAGCGGUACUUAACCAGAAAGGGACGGCUAACUACGUGCCAGCAGCCGCGGUAAUUC